Long non-coding RNA from Pyrus x bretschneideri (Chinese white pear), 660 nucleotides. RefSeq lists it as uncharacterized. NCBI's taxonomy places the organism in Eukaryota, Viridiplantae, Streptophyta, Magnoliopsida, Rosales, Rosaceae. The record is from RefSeq and is a predicted model, not a curated record. The transcript is spliced from 2 exons.
UUUGGUGUACCCUCACCAUUAUGAGUGAGGGUACACCAAAAAAAUUUGGUGUGCCGGGUACACCGAAAAAUUACUCUUCCAGGAGGCACAACCUGCAUCACUCAUUCAACUCUCUCUCUAUGAAAUCCUUCUCUCAUUCAACCCUCUUUCUCUCCAAAAAACAAAAAAAAAAAAAAAAAAAAAAAAAGCCCAAAAAUAGCUUUGGAGCACCGAAGACGAAUUGAAGUACGAGUGCUCCAAUUUGAAGAGUCUGAUUUCAGAAUCCCGAAGCAGAAGUCGGUGCUUGGAAUUGUUCUAGCCGGUCAGCACUUCGGAAACCCUCUAACUGCAGGACCAUGUGCUGUUUCCAGCGUUUGUCAUUCAAUCUUGGGUAGUGCCUUGGCAGGAUUCUGGAGACAGACUGUGCCAGCCCAGAAGCAAGAUACAAAUGUCAUGUAAAAUCUUUAGACAAGCAGUACAAACUUAAGUCUUUCUGUUUUCAUAUGAGCUGAUAUUUGUCGGAAUUUCUUUUUGUCCGUAGUAGCUAUGGAACAGUUGGAUUUACACUUUCUAGUGCUGAAUAAGUUGGACAUGUAUUGGUAGGUUGUAUCUUUAUUAAAGAGAUGAUGUAAAUGUGAUAUAAAAAAUGUGACAAGUAUACACUACUCAUUUUUGUUUUUC